This 147-nucleotide non-coding RNA is filed under the name Homo sapiens (human). The record is from Rfam by way of RNAcentral. Lineage: Eukaryota; Metazoa; Chordata; Mammalia; Primates; Hominidae.
GCCAGGCAUGGUGGCGCGUGCCUGUAGUCCCAGCUACUCAGGAGGCUGAGGCAGGAGAAUCGCUUGAGCCCAGGAGGAGAGGUUGCAGUGAGACGAGAUUGUGUCAUUGCACUCCAGCCUGGGCAACAGAGUGAGUCUCUGUCUCAU